Felis catus (domestic cat) is the source of this 85-nucleotide transfer RNA. It matches the Rfam family "tRNA". Rfam says of the family: Transfer RNA (tRNA) molecules are approximately 80 nucleotides in length. Their secondary structure includes four short double-helical elements and three loops (D, anti-codon, and T loops). The record is from Rfam. NCBI's taxonomy places the organism in Eukaryota, Metazoa, Chordata, Mammalia, Carnivora, Felidae.
GCCUGGCUGGCUCAGUUGGUUGAGCGUCUGACUUCGGCUCAGGUCAUGAUCUCACAGGUCGUGGGUUCGAGCCCCGCGUCGGGCU